AGCGGAGUAGAGCAGCAUGGUAGCUCGUCUGGCUCAUGCCCAGAAGGUCGGGGGUUCGAAUCCCUCCUCUGCAACCA
This 77-nucleotide transfer RNA is filed under the name Paenibacillus rhizovicinus. Its description in RNAcentral is "Paenibacillus sp. 14171R-81 tRNA-Met". It matches the Rfam family "tRNA". From Rfam's summary of the family: Transfer RNA (tRNA) molecules are approximately 80 nucleotides in length. Their secondary structure includes four short double-helical elements and three loops (D, anti-codon, and T loops). Further hydrogen bonds mediate the characteristic L-shaped molecular structure. tRNAs have two regions of fundamental functional importance: the anti-codon, which is responsible for specific mRNA codon recognition, and the 3' end, to which the tRNAs corresponding amino acid is attached (by aminoacyl-tRNA synthetases). tRNAs cope with the degeneracy of the genetic code in two manners: having more than one tRNA (with a specific anti-codon) for a particular amino acid; and 'wobble' base-pairing, i.e. permitting non-standard base-pairing at the 3rd anti-codon position. Lineage: Bacteria; Bacillati; Bacillota; Bacilli; Caryophanales; Paenibacillaceae. The record is from RNAcentral.